AAUCAACGCUGGCGGCGUGCCUCAGACAUGCAAGUCGAACGAUUAAAGCUCUCUUCGGAGAGUGCAUAAAGUGGCGCACGGGUGAGUAACACGUAAGUAAUCUACCUUCGAGUGGGGAAUAACGUCCGGAAACGGACGCUAAUACCGCAUAAUGCAGCGGCAUCGCAAGAUGACAGUUGUUAAAGAUUUAUCGCUUGAAGAGGAGCUUGCGGCAGAUUAGCUAGUUGGUAAGGUAAUGGCUUACCAAGGCUACGAUCUGUAACCGGUCUAAGAGGACGGUCGGUCACACUGACACUGAAUAACGGGUCAGACUCCUACGGGAGGCAGCAGUCGGGAAUUUUGGGCAAUGGGCGAAAGCCUGACCCAGCAACGCCGCGUGAAGGAUGAAGUAUUUCGGUAUGUAAACUUCGAAAGAAUAGGAAGAAUAAAUGACGGUACUAUUUAUAAGCUCCGGCUAACUACGUGCCAGCAGCCGCCGUAAG
Molecule: ribosomal RNA, 482 nt
Filed under: uncultured bacterium
Lineage: Bacteria
Description: bacterial SSU rRNA
Rfam family: Bacterial small subunit ribosomal RNA
Source: RNAcentral